GGAUGCCUUACACAUGCAAGUCGAACGGCAGCACGGACUUCGGUCUGGUGGCGAGUGGCGAACGGGUGAGUAAUGUAUCGGAACGUGCCUAGUAGCGGGGGAUAACUACGCGAAAGCGUAGCUAAUACCGCAUACGCCCUACGGGGGAAAGCAGGGGAUCGCAAGACCUUGCACUAUUAGAGCGGCCGAUAUCGGAUUAGCUAGUUGGUGGGGUAACGGCUCACCAAGGCGACGAUCCGUAGCUGGUUUGAGAGGACGACCAGCCACACUGGGACUGAGACACGGCCCAGACUCCUACGGGAGGCAGCAGUGGGGAAUUUUGGACAAUGGGGGAAACCCUGAUCCAGCCAUCCCGCGUGUGCGAUGAAGGCCUUCGGGUUGUAAAGCACUUUUGGCAGGAAAGAAACGUCAUGGGCUAAUACCCCGUGAAACUGACGGUACCUGCAGAAUAAGCACCGGCUAACUACGUGCCAGCAGCCGCGGUAAUACGUAGGGUGCAAGCGUUAAUCGGAAUUACUGGGCGUAAAGCGUGCGCAGGCGGUUCGGAAAGAAAGAUGUGAAAUCCCAGAGCUUAACUUUGGAACUGCAUUUUUAACUACCGAGCUAGAGUGUGUCAGAGGGAGGUGGAAUUCCGCGUGUAGCAGUGAAAUGCGUAGAUAUGCGGAGGAACACCGAUGGCGAAGGCAG
This 687-nucleotide ribosomal RNA is filed under the name Achromobacter spanius. RNAcentral describes it as "bacterial SSU rRNA". It matches the Rfam family "Bacterial small subunit ribosomal RNA", at positions 42 to 724 of the family's 1533-position model. The record is from RNAcentral. Lineage: Bacteria; Pseudomonadati; Pseudomonadota; Betaproteobacteria; Burkholderiales; Alcaligenaceae.